GGGGAAUUUUCCGCAAUGGGCGAAAGCCUGACGGAGCAAUACCGCGUGAGGGAUGACGGCCUAUGGGUUGUAAACCUCUUUUUUCAGGGAGGAAACAGAUGACGUUACCUGAAGAAUAAGCAUCGGCUAACUCCGUGCCAGCAGCCGCGGUAAGACGGAGGAUGCAAGUGUUAUCCGGAAUCACUGGGCGUAAAGCGUCUGUAGGUGGUUGAAUAANUCAACUGUUAAAUCUUGAGGCUCAACCUCAAAACCGCAGUCGAAACUAUUCGACUAGAGUAUAGUAGGGGUAAAGGGAAUUUCCAGUGGAGCGGUGAAAUGCGUAGAGAUUGGAAAGAACACCGAUGGCGAAGGCACUUUACUGGGCUAUUACUAACACUGAGAGACGAAAGCUAGGGUAGCAAAUGGGAUUAGAUACCCCAGUAGUC
This 425-nucleotide ribosomal RNA is filed under the name uncultured cyanobacterium. RNAcentral describes it as "bacterial SSU rRNA". It matches the Rfam family "Bacterial small subunit ribosomal RNA", at positions 356 to 795 of the family's 1533-position model. Lineage: Bacteria; Bacillati; Cyanobacteriota. The record is from RNAcentral.